GUCACUUGGCUGCGGCAGCCACUCCUUGGUCUGGGGCUGUCCUGAAGAUGAAUUCCAGUGCCCCAGAAGGAAUGACAGGGCAGCGGAGUCCUGCCAUCUCCCCCGAAAAAUGUGUUCAGCGUUGAGUUUUUCAGGCCAAAGACUUCUGGAAAAAGUCACAUUAAU
This is a long non-coding RNA of Bos indicus x Bos taurus (hybrid cattle), 165 nucleotides long. The record is from Ensembl. Lineage: Eukaryota; Metazoa; Chordata; Mammalia; Artiodactyla; Bovidae.